AUUCCAGCUCCAAUAGCGUAUAUUUAAGUUGUUGCAGUUAAAAAGCUCGUAGUUGGAUUUCGGGCGGGGCCUGCCGGUCCGCCUUUGGUGUGCACUGGCAUGGGCUCGCCUCGCUGGCGGGGACGGGCUCCUGGGCUUAACUGUCCGGGACUCGGAGUCGCCGAGGUUACUUUGAGUAAAUUAGAGUGUUCAAAGCAGGCCUACGCUCUGAAUACGUUAGCAUGGAAUAACACGAUAGGACUCUGGCCUAUCUUGUUGGUCUGUGGGACCGGAGUAAUGAUUAAGAGGGACGGUCGGGGGCAUUCGUAUUUCAUUGUCAGAGGUGAAAUUCUUGGAUUUAUGAAAGACGAACUUCUGCGAAAGCAUUUGCCAAGGAUGUUUUCAUCG
This 387-nucleotide ribosomal RNA is filed under the name Chloroidium sp. Its description in RNAcentral is "partial small subunit ribosomal RNA". It matches the Rfam family "Eukaryotic small subunit ribosomal RNA", at positions 582 to 975 of the family's 1831-position model. Lineage: Eukaryota; Viridiplantae; Chlorophyta; Trebouxiophyceae; Watanabeales; Watanabeaceae. The record is from RNAcentral.